CAGAAUCUGAUUAGCACAAAAGAAUGGGCUGUUUGUCUACCAGCAGGGAGGUCGGCAGUGAUGACCAGACAUGGUGGGCUAGAUAAGCAUAUCCAGAUUUGCCCCUGACCAGACGGUAGAAAGGAUAACUAACCAAGAACGCACUAACACUGACCAAGAUCUCCGUGAGGGUAGAGGUGAAACAAACCCAGUACUUUCAAUGGUGCCCUUUUCCUAGCUCACAACCGGAAACCAGUUCCUUACCAUCUCCAAACCUCAGCAAUCUACCUGGUCCUCCAAGGGGAAUAAUUCUGACCUUGGGCUGAAGAGGAAGAUGGUUUGCCAGAAGGGAUCGGAGAAUGCACCUGUUGUGCAUGCGGGCCACACACUAACCAGCCUGGAAAGCUGCCUGCUCCUCCGCGCCCCGGCUAAUUCCCCAGUCACAGCUGGGACUUCACGGCGGGAGCAGCUUCCCUCGAAGUACAGCCCGGCUCCAAAAUAAUUCUCCGCUCUCCAGCUUAAACUGACGCGGGUCCACACAAGUCCCACUAAGCGGAUCCAAACUAGCCGGUGUGACCCACACCUCCAACAGUAUUCCAGAGGACAGAAUGGGGGGGGGGUAGCCUGUAAAUCCAGUACUUCGGGAGGCUGAGGCAAGAGGAUCGCACAUUAGAGCCCAGCCUGGGCAAGUUAGGGAUUUAGCGAGACCCCCGUCUCAAAAUAAAAAAUAAAACGGGCUGGGAUGCAGCUCAGUCCGAAGCCCCUGGAUUCAAUCCCCAGUACCUAAAAAAAAAAUUUCAGAG
Molecule: long non-coding RNA, 782 nt
Filed under: Heterocephalus glaber (naked mole-rat)
Lineage: Eukaryota; Metazoa; Chordata; Mammalia; Rodentia; Bathyergidae
Description: lncRNA (ENSHGLG00100033176.1)
Source: RNAcentral